RNAcentral lists this long non-coding RNA (220 nucleotides) under Elaeis guineensis (African oil palm). Its description in RNAcentral is "long non-coding RNA (EGUI_LNC056108)". The record is from RNAcentral. Lineage: Eukaryota; Viridiplantae; Streptophyta; Magnoliopsida; Arecales; Arecaceae.
UACAAACUGAUGGCUCAUUUGAUCAAAGGAGAAGAUAGUACCCGACUUCAGUGUCGAGUACCAAUUUCUUGCCGCUCCCUUCAAGGUGGAUGGAAAAGCUCGACAUAGGAUGGCAUCUGGCACGCCAUGGAGUAGCAUCAUUGUCCGAAAGGCCUUCAGGUGGUCAACCAAAUCUGAGGUCCCAUCGUAGCUCUCGAAUUGAGGGAGCUUGAAGUUUGAC